GUGUGUGACCAGCUUUAGGCAGAGAAAAACGUAAGUCGUAAUAUACUACUAGAGUCUAGAAUAGUAUACUACGAUAUGUACGACUUACAUUACAUACUACGACUACGACUACGAUACCUACGUCUCGUUCUCUGCCUUCGGCCUAACUCCGACGUUGUUAAAUCCGACGUGUAAACGUAGUCAUUGAUAACCUUUGAUAAUGCUUUGGAUAUGCUGAUAAGGCUCUUAAUUAUAAAAUUACAGUGAUUUGAAGUCAUUCCCUGUACAUGUGACUGUUGAGUAUGCUGCGAAACGACAAAAGAAUUCUUAAGCGGUUCUCUAACUGUAGAAUCCUGCGUGACAGCAGGAUUCAGACAGAGGAUUUAUGGGUGCGAGAUGGAAAGAUCGUGAAUCCGGAGAAAAUCUUCUAUGACGAGAAGAUCAAGCCAGAUGUUAUGAUAGACUGCGGCGGCGCUUUGAUCUCGCCGGGAUAUAUAGACGUGCAAAUUAAUGGAGGAUUUGGCAUAGAUUUCUCAUACAACAUUGACAAUGUUGAAGAAGGCAUUGCCAAAGUAGCAAAAGGAUUGUUGGCACAUGGAGUAACAUCAUUUUGUCCUACAUUGGUUACAUCUCCCAUUGAAGUGUAUCACAAAAUUUUACCGAAAAUAAAGAAACAAAAUGGAGGUAGCCAUGGUGCUAGUGUAUUAGGUCUUCAUUUAGAAGGGCCAUUUAUUAGUCCAAACAAGAAGGGUGCCCAUCCUGAGCAUUAUAUUAGAAAAUUUGAUCAGGGAUUUAAAUCAGUUAUUGAUAUGUAUGGUGAACUGGACAAUGUGUGCAUGCUCACAUUAGCACCCGAAAUUUCAAAUGCUAUAUCUGUUGUUGAAGAAUUAUGUAGAAGAAAUAUCAAAGUAUCUCUUGGACAUUCUAUAGCAAAUUUAAAUGAAGGAGAAGAAGCAGUUAAACAUGGAGCAUCGUUUAUCACUCAUCUAUUCAAUGCCAUGUUGCCUUUUCAUCAUAGAGAUCCAGGAUUGGUUGGUCUCUUAACAUCUGACCAAAUUCCGUUUGGAAGAAUCAUUCAUUUUGGUAUAAUUUCUGAUGGGAUUCAUACUCAUCCUGCAGCGUUACGAAUUGCUCAUAGAACGCAUCCUAAAGGUCUUGUACUUGUAACUGAUGCAAUAUCAGCAUUGGGUCUGGAGGAGGGAAUUCAUCAAUUAGGACAAUUUAAAAUAGAAAUACGUAAAAGUUGCGCCUAUAUCGCUGAAACAAAUACUCUGUGUGGUAGUAUGGCUGAGCUUUCCAAAUGUGUAAGAUACUUUAAAGAAGCUACAGGUUGCACAGUAGUUGAAGCUUUAGAAGCAGCGACUUUACAUCCUGCACAAACCCUAGGCAUCGAUUCUUACAAAGGCGUUCUAAAUUUUGGAGCCGAUGCUGAUUUUAUAUUACUCGAUAAGAAACUUGAAUUAUUGUCGACAUGGAUUUCGGGAGAGUGUGUUUAUGAAAAAAAUACUGGCAGUGUAAAGCAAUUUGAUGUGUGAACGAACAGGUAUUCUAAGCGCAAAUUGCGCGAAUGUAUUGUCAAAGAAACAAUGAAAAGAAAACAAAAUGAUUAAAUACAUCUAACUACUGUAUCGAAUUGAUUAAUUAGUUACCUGGAACACUGUUUGGUCUGCUCAUGGGUGGUCUAAGGCCAAAAGUAAAUUGCAAUGCUUUUUCCAAUAAAAGCAUUGCCUUCUCUGGACUGUAUUCACCCGGACCUGGAAUAUUAAACAAGACAAAAGAUGAAUUAGAAAAUAAGUUGUAGAUAUUAUUAAUAUAUAUAUUGUAUGCUUAUGGGAACAAGAAUACAAGCUACCGUGUUAAAAAGUUUAAGAUAUUCAGUCUGCUGACAUCUGCCAAUAUUUUGUUAAUUAAGAUAUUAUUGAGUAUUAAUUUAAUUUAUUAUAUAAUUUUGCAAGUGUAAACAAUAGUAUAAAAAAUAGUGCAGAUUUAUAAGAGAACGCAACUAACGCUCUAAGGAUAUCUUUUAAGGCUAUGAUUAUCAAGCUGUGAUUAUAUAAUAGUUGUGUUUAAUUAUAAAUUAUAAAAAUAUAAAAUUGUUUUUGUUUUUUAAGAUCGGUUUUGAUAACUAUUCGGCUGCAAUAUUUGACACGUGAUUAGGAUAAACAACAAAAUAAAAUGUAAUAAUUAAUACUAAAUUUUUGUAAUAUUGAAAAAUAAUAUUUACUGAAAAAUAAUAUUUAUGUAAACGCGCACGUGCUCGCGCAUAAUGGUUUGUUGGAAAGUGAUUUGAUUCAAAUAUCAAAGCAAUCGAUAAAACUAAUGCUUAUUUUGAAGGUUUAGGGAAAUUGUGUUUUUUAUACAGAUGGUAUAUAAAAAAAAGUUAGAAUAAAUAUAU
This 2374-nucleotide unclassified non-coding RNA is filed under the name Monomorium pharaonis (pharaoh ant). RNAcentral describes it as "n-acetylglucosamine-6-phosphate deacetylase, transcript variant X2". Lineage: Eukaryota; Metazoa; Arthropoda; Insecta; Hymenoptera; Formicidae. The record is from RNAcentral.